CGUUACCACAGGGGGGGCUUUUAGCUGAGAUUGAGCCCGAUUCACGUCGGCUCUGACCCUUUGAACCUGUUCGUUAGCACGAGCGUAGGGAUUGUGGCGAUUGCAUUUU
RNAcentral lists this non-coding RNA (109 nucleotides) under Listeria floridensis. Its description in RNAcentral is "TPP sequence". It matches the Rfam family "TPP riboswitch aptamer (THI element)". From Rfam's summary of the family: Vitamin B(1) in its active form thiamin pyrophosphate (TPP) is an essential coenzyme that is synthesised by coupling of pyrimidine and thiazole moieties in bacteria. The record is from RNAcentral. Lineage: Bacteria; Bacillati; Bacillota; Bacilli; Caryophanales; Listeriaceae.